GGGGCCGAUCGGUAUCGACCGGACAGGGAAGGCUGAUUGUGGCGCGUCGAGGGGCGUGCAUGCCGCGUCAAAAGCACGCAACACAAUAACUGCCAACAACAGCGGUUAUCGUCUCGCGGCCUGAUAGGCCGUGCGAUCUCCGCCUGACGCCCGAUGGGGCGGGGAUCGAAGACAUCGGGCUGGCCGAAAGCGCGGCGCCGCCGGGCGCCUCGGUAAGAUUUUACCGGCUGCUGGGCCGAGGGGAGGUUGUCGAUGGCCGCCCCAAGGCUGAGAUCAACACAUCGAACACACGCGUAGAGGCGAUCAGCUGACUGUCACGACACGGGGGUUCGAUUCCCCCCGGCUCCAUUU
This 351-nucleotide transfer-messenger RNA is filed under the name Phycisphaerales. Its description in RNAcentral is "JADLCM01 sp019636695 Standard tmRNA". It matches the Rfam family "transfer-messenger RNA". Rfam says of the family: Bacterial tmRNA, also known as 10Sa RNA or SsrA, is named for its dual tRNA and mRNA-like properties. Its role is to liberate the mRNA from a stalled ribosome. The record is from RNAcentral. RNAcentral also lists the same sequence under 1 other name. Lineage: Bacteria; Pseudomonadati; Planctomycetota; Phycisphaerae.